CCCUUAGAUGUUCUGGGCCGCACGCGCGCUACACUGACGAAGUCAGCGAGCAUCUCCUACGCCGAAAGGUGCGGGGAAUCUUGUGAAACUUUGUCGUGCUGGGGAUUGAUUUUUGAAAUUCUUGAUCAUAAACGAGGAAUUCCUAGUAAGCGCAAGUCAGCAGCUUGCGUUGAUUACGUCCCUGCCCUUUGUACACACCGCCCGUCGCUGCUACCGAUUGAAUGGUUUAGUGAGAUGUUUGGACCGGAACUCUCUUGCUCAGCAAUGGGCGAGAGAGAGUCUGGGAAGUCCCUCUAACUGUAUCAUUUAGAGGAAGUAAAAGUCGUAACA
Molecule: ribosomal RNA, 330 nt
Filed under: uncultured eukaryote
Lineage: Eukaryota
Description: partial 18S ribosomal RNA
Rfam family: Eukaryotic small subunit ribosomal RNA
Source: RNAcentral